Molecule: non-coding RNA, 8931 nt
Organism: Podarcis lilfordi (Lilford's wall lizard)
Lineage: Eukaryota; Metazoa; Chordata; Lepidosauria; Squamata; Lacertidae
Source: the annotation of a GenBank genome assembly
GUGGUGACUGUUAGAAAAACAUAGAGGCCUAACUUGAAUAGUAGAAAGUCUGGCAUCUGGUGGGCGGGGCUUUUAUGUUGUGCUCUGGAAUCAGCCCUUCCUUCGGAUGUUCAGUUAAGUUCAGUUAGAGAGACCAACUGUCAUUCUUGCCUCAUGUUGUUGUUUUAGUUGCUCUUAGACAGUAUGCUAUUGUGUUACAAUGUUCUUUAUUAGUAAAGCUUUCUUUGACAUACAGUGGACCCUCCGGAUAUGAAUUAAAUUCAUUCCGGGGGUCCGUACUUAACACGAAAAGUCCGUAACUGGAGGCGCCACAUCUGCGCACAUGGCACAAUAGAGCGCUUCUAUGCAUGCGCGCGGGGCAAAACUCAGAAGUAUACACUUCCGGGUUUGCCACGUUCACAACCUGAAAAUUACGUAUCCAGAGCGGUACAUAACUUGAGGGUCCACUGUAUACGUGAGCAGGGGUGUACGAAUGGAGGUGCGUGGGAUGCAGUUCACCCCGGGUGUCAUGCCUGAGGGGGUGACAAAAUGGCACACCGCAGGGGGCGGCACUUACCGUGGGGCCUGGCCUGCUGUGCACCCAAGCCACUCGUCUCUCCAGGGAGUGACGCGGUGGCUCUGGGCCCCAUGCUGUCUGAAACGACAGCAUGGGGCUUGUGUCCACCAGGCAGACUCCGCUGGCAGCUCACCGUGGUGCCCCCUUGGGCAGAUUGCCCCGGCGCCCCCGUGCCCCGCGUGGGCGGAUCCCUCCCCCGCUACUCCAGGUGCUGGAGCAGCUAGCUACGCCCCUGUACGUGAGCCGCUUACUUUGCUGAAAGAAAAUAAACCCUGAUGAAGAAUGGUGGAAUAUCCUAAACUGGCUGAGAGAGGGGAUAUCCCCACUCUGACAGGAGGAUUGAUUGUUUUAAGCACUCCCACCCUCCACAACAGUGAGUAGGUGCUUUCUUCUAAUUGAUGGAAGGCACGGCCACACCAUUUUGUGAUCCUGUCUCUUUUCUCUUUUAGAUGUGGCAGCCAUUUUGUGUUAUGUCACGCCUCUACUUCAGCCCUUUUGUUGUGCCAUGCCAUGCCAUGCCCCGCCCCACAUAGCAGCCUUUUUGUGACUGGCUCCCAUGGCACUUUAAAAAAAUUCUUCAUGUGCCUACCAGUUCCCCCAAAAUAUUGACAGCCCUUGACUGUUCUAGCUCUUCUUUUAAUGCACUAUAAUUGAUCUGCAAUAGUUGUAACGUUGAUCAUAAGCUCUGAAAUAGUCACCGUAAGUCAGCCAAGAGCAAACCUUGGCUACAGCGUGUAGUUAGUGUAAAGAGAACUUAACCCUGAGACUCAGGCCACAUGCAAACUAUACACUUAAAGCAACAUGAAGCCAUUUUAAACAGUCAUGGCUCCCCCAGUAUAAUUCUGGGAGCUGUUGUUUAUUAACAGUGCUCAGUUGUUUUAAAAAAUACCCCGUUUCCCUCACAGAGUUACAAUUUCCAAAAUUCUACAUUCCCAGAAUUCUUUUGGAGGAGCCAUGACCGUUUAAAGCGGCGUCAUAGUGCUUUAAAUAUAUGAUGUGACUGUGCACCAUACAACACACACAAAGGCUAAGCCAAAACUUCUCUUGGCUUAGUGUGGUGCAGCAGUAAAAAGGACUAGGGAGGAUCAACGUAUCUGUAAGUUCCUCUUUGGGAGCUCUUGCAGUCUCACUAAGCCAAAAUUUGGUUUCAUGUGUUAUGCAAAGUAGGUCAGCCUUACCUCAUAUUUCCUUUCAAGUCGAGGUAUUUAGCCAUAGGACAAUGCUUACAAUCAUUCACAACUCUAUAAACAGCUAUGUCUUUACAAUAAUAAAAUGAUUUAUUCACAAGAGGGAUGAGAGUUCUUAUGUUACCUUAUGAUAAGAGAAAAGGGCUACUGCCUUUCUAGUAAAAAUAGGACCUGCAUUGCUGUGCCCUGUAAAUUUAUUCAUUUACUAAGUUCUGUUUGGUCUGCUAGGGAGCACCCUGCUUAUCCAUGAACAACCUGAUCUUUUUAGAAGAACAUUGCAAAAAUAAAAAUAAAAAUCAAAUCCCAUUUCUGUAAUGUUAAAAUUCAACUUUAUUUUGCCCUAAGCAGUUUUUUAAAAUGCUUUUUGUAGAAGAGAAGAGAAGAGAAUUUUACUUAUUUUCCUCAUGGAUCAUUUUAAACAUUAUGGUUAUGGCACUGAAACACUUGCAGAGCAAAAUUGGUGAUUUCAUACACUGGGGUUUCUUCGAAGUAGUAGAACAUUUUCAUUUACUUAGGAAUAAAAACGAUGCUACAGGGAGCAGCAGAAAUAGGACUUUAACUGAAAGACACCCUUGAGGUAUUCUGAAAGAGCUGGUGGGAAAUUCUAGGUAUUAAAACUUUGAUAUGCACUAGGAUAGGAUGGUGUCUAGUUAAUUUUUCUACCCAGAAGACGGGUAUUCAAAACCAAUCUCUUAUCAACUUUUCAGAGAGAAAAUGCUAUUCAGAGACUUCUAGCAACAGUUUGGAUGUUGUGAGAAAGGACAUGGAUUUGUUAAUUGUAUUUUCAAAUCACUUUUCGGGUUCAUCGUUUUUUAUGUACUUGAACCACAAAAAUCUAACACAAGGUGUACUUUCAAAAUACUUUCAAUAACCAUGCAAUGUUUUCCUUUCUUUAUAUGAGACAAAAGAUGCAUGUUGAAAAAAACAAUUUUCUACCCACCAGAAAAAUAAGGAAAAUGAUGAGUCUCCAGUUUUUUGGUGUGUGAACAAGAAUGCUAUAUUAUACAUUCUGGGAUGUUGCCAAUCUUUAUCAUGUUCAAAUAUGCAACUUCCAAAUAUUCUUUUUUGGGUAAAGUCAGUGCUAAUUGAUAAUUUAACUUCCAGAUGGAUUCAAUAGAAGCAAAACAUUAGAUUUUUCUGCUAGAGUUUUGCCUGCUCUUUACUUUGCUCCCCAUUCCUUCUCCAACCCUCUACCAUAGAAACAUACACAAAAAAGGCCCCAAAGAGAUAGGUACAGUGGUACCUCUGGAUGUGAACGGGAUCCAUUCUGGAGCCCCGUUCGCAUCCUGAAGCGAACGCAACCCGCAUCUGUGCGUCUGCACAUGCGCGGGUCAUGAUUUGCCGCUUCUGCACAUGCACGUGAUGUCAUUUUGAGCGUCUGCGCAAGCAACGAAACCUGGAAGUAAUACAUUCUGUUACUUCUGGAUCGCCGCGGAGCGCAACCCGAAAACGUUCAACCUGAAGCAACUUCAACCCGAGGUAUGACUGUAUUAGAUUGGUGGUUUCCAGAGAUCCUUUACUAGCUGAACGCUAUUUUCAGAUUGUUACUCUAAGCCAUAGAGAGAAGGGUUACUAAGGAAACCAGGAACUAUGGUAACCUGGGCAACCUUACGGGUCCCAGAGAAAGAUGGGGGACCCCCCCCCCAAUUCAUACUAUAUAUGCGUGUGUUCAGCUGCAGGUCUUAUUCCUUUCUUUAGAGGACAGAUGCAACAAUAUUUUCAUUCUUUUCCCCCUCAAGAAUCUAGAAGAAUUUCAUGAAUCAUGUCAAGUGAGGAAAUGAAAGACACUUUUAAAAACAGGGUCUCUACCUGCUGAGUGCAAUUUGAAGUUGUGCCAGGCCAAAUCAUCCAAGAUUAAAGAUGACAUUAAGAAAAUGUACUAUUUUUGACAUGUUCUUAUUAACUUAGCAGCAUGCUAAAGGUAACAUGCAAUUAUCAAAGGGGUUUAAUAAUUGGUAUUGUUACACACCACCCCAAUCUCCACAGCCAUGCAAGAUUCCAGAGGUUACAGGCGCAUACCCAGGGUUCGUGUUUGGAAUUUGGAAAUGAGGCACAGUGGAGACAGCGGUGUCUUUAUGAUAUAUGGUUUAUUUACACAUACAGUGGUACCUUGGUUCUCGAACUUAAUCCACUCCGGAGGUCCAUUCAACUUCCGAAACAUUCAAAAACCAAGGCACAGUUUCCGAUUGGCUGCAGUAGCUUCCUGCACUCAAGCGGAAGCUGCAUCAGAUGUUUGUCUUUCAAAAAACCUUCAAAAACUGGAACACUUUCUUCCUGGUUUUCAGCAUUCAGGAGCCAAUUUGUUCAUCAACUAAGCCGUUCGAGAACCAAGGUUCCAUUGUAUACUGUGGAGGGGCUCAAAGCAUUACACUCCUAUUGGGUCUUGCUCCCUCCAUAAGCACAGCCCUGGAUCCAAAAACAAAUAACCCAUGGUAUUUGUUCUGCAGCUCACAGUGUUUUGCAGACUGCCCCCCUUCACCUCCAGCUCACAUCACAGCCAAAACUCUAAAACUCUAUUCUCAGGCUUUUGUCUUUCUAACUAAUUCUGAGUUAACAGAGGGGUCCCUCCCAUUUGCCAUCUGGCACAAAGCCAGUGAGGUGUAGUGAUUAAGAGUGGUAGACUCGUAAUCUGGUGAACCGGGUUCGUGUCUCCACUCCUCCACAUGCAGCUGCUGGGUGACCUUGGGCUAGUCACACUUCUUUGAAGUCUCUCAGCCCCACUCACCUCACAGAGUGUUUGUUGUGGGGGAGGAAGUGAUAAGAGAACGUUAGCCGGUUUGAGACUCCUUUGAUAAAGCGGGACAUCAAAUCCAAACUCCUCCUUUUCUUCUUCCUCCUCUUCUUCUUCUUCUUCUUCUUCUUCUUCUUCUUCUUCUUCUUCUUUAUCCCAACUAUGACCCAUCCUGGCUCCUAGCUUGUAUUUUUAGCACGGCUUAUAUUUUAACAUGCUAAUUUCAGCAUCUGGCACCCAGGAAUUAGAAGGGGAGUCCAGGUGCCCCACAAACUUAUAACACUAUAAUAUAGCCCUUUUCACUUGUUGUAAUACACAUGUAGGGGUGCUGUGCACUGUGGUAUAGUUCAUAGUGCUGCAUGCAUAUAACGUGUAAAGAGCUGUUGUAUACAAAACAUUAUACAGUUGAUUUUCCAGCUUGAAUCUUGACGACCUACCCUCCAGUAUACAAUGCCAGAGUGCGUAUGCAGGAUCUCUUAAAAGGUAAUUUUGUGUUGAUCCUGAGGGUGCAUACUUGAUUAAGAAUAGAUGAAGUCCAUUUCGAUGUGACAUCCAGGUCCACCUAGCUCAGCGUUCUUUCCAAUACUCCCAACAGCCAACGGGUACUAAAAGGCCUAUAUUUAAAAAGCCAAUUGUCCAUUGAUGGAUUUUGGUUGACCUUCUGCCCAUGCCUGGAUUAUAGCAAUUGUGAAGUCAAGUAAGGUGUGAAGCAGCUUUAUAUCAAAAUAAUAAGUACCAUUUGCAGGGGAGGGGACAGAACUGACUUGUGCAUGAGCUGCGUUUGAGAUAUUCAGCUUGCAAGCACUUAAUUCUGGAAAAAAAAUAGAGGUGUGUGUGCAUUGUAAGAUGAAUUAACCUGUUUCUCCUUAGAGAUCUGACUCCCUGAACCACUUCCCAAAAGAGGUCCAGGAGUUCAUGCACCCUAUUCCCCAAACUGCUGUCAGCUACAUCCCAUUGCCACACUCUGCUUUCCCUGGGCCUUACCUCUGCCUUGUGAUGGCUAUUCAGGAAAUGACACAGUAAGUAUAUUAUACAUGCAUACGUAAUACAUUUAUUGAGCUGACAUUAAAAAAGCAGUGAAGUCAAAGAUAAAGGCAAGGGGCAGUACUGCCCUUCAUUGGCUGAUGAGAUGCACAACAAUAGAAAAUAAGAUUGCAAUGAGGUCACAUCAGGAUUCCUCAUCUACUAAAUGUCACUUGGGGAUAGAAGAAAAGGAGAAGUGAGGCUGCUGUUUUUAGUAGAAGCAACUCAUCUCCUGAAAUGUGUACACAAUAAAACACCUGGGGAAAGGUCUAAGAAAGUCACACCACCAGCAAUCUCACAAACUACCUGAUCCUAUGGUUUGCUACACUAAAUUAUGUCAGCAUAAAAUGUAGCUGUGAUCCUUUGCACUCUUAGCCUUAGAAAGAAAAACAGUACCAGAGGAAGUAAGAGAAAACUUAGUAAGAUGGAUACACAUUUCCACAGGCCUGCAGCAACUUCCGCCGCCACCACCCAUUCUAAUAUGUUUAGGAAAACAAGGGUUUCACUUGCAACCACCUCGGUGGGUUGCCAGGAAAUAAAGUGGUAUUUAAUGUUUAUCAUAGGUAUAUAUCUCACCCAAAGUUUGCGUUCUUGGGCCUGGAAUGCAAAUCUUAGUAACUUGCAAUACUUGCCUCAAAUGUGAUACAAGGGUUUCAACCCUCUAAGUUUCUCUAUGCUUUUACAUGCACAGACACCCCACCAAAUCCCCUCUGACUUCUAAUUCCCAUUCACCCAUAAAUACCCACUCCCUUCCCAGUGCAAGUCUCCAACCAUUUACUCAUAUUUGACUUUCCCAUUUUUUGAGGAUGUGGAAAUACACACUGGGAUGGAGAGGACUAUGCGUGUCCAUGUGUCUGUGUCCCCGACUUUUAUAUCUGCCCCCUGAAUGUUCAUAUACCUACCUUCCUUCUUCUUCUUCUUCUUCUUCUUCUUCUUCUUCUUCUUCUUCUUCUUUUCGUUCUGCCCAGACACUGAGGUCCAGCACUGAGGGCCUUCUGGCGGUUCCCUCGCUGCGAGAAGCCAAGUUACAGGGAACCAGGCAGAGGGCCUUCUCGGUAGUGGUGCCCGCCCUGUGGAACGCCCUCCCACCAGAUGUCAAAGAGGAAAAAAACUACCAAACUUUUGUUGUUGUUGUUUAGUCGUUUAGUCGUGUCCGACUCUUUGUGACCCCAUGGACCAGAGCACGCCAGGCACUUCUGUCUUCCACUGCCUCCCGCAGUUUGAUCAAACUCAUGCUGGUAGCUUCAAGAACACUAUCCAACCAUCUCAUCCUCUGUCGUCCCCUUCUCCUUGUGCCCUCCAUCUUUCCCAACAUCAGGGUCUUUUCCAGGGAGUCUUCUCUUCUCAUGAGGUGGCCAAAGUAUUGGAGCCUCAGCUUCACGAUCUGUCCUUCCAGUGAGCACUCAGGGCUGAUUUCCUUCAGAAUGAAUAGGUUUGAUCUUCUUGCAGUCCAUGGGACUCUCAAGAGUCUCCUCCAGCACCAUAAUUCAAAAGCAUCAAUUCUUCGGCGAUCAGCCUUCUUUAUGGUCCAGCUUUCACUUCCAUACAUCACUACUGGGAAAACCAUAGCUUUUACUAUACGGACCUUUGUUGGCAAGGUGAUGUCUCUACUUUUUAAGAUGCUGUCUAGGUUUGUCAUUGCUUUUCUCCCAAGAAGCAAGCGUCUUUUAAUUUCGUGGCUGCUGUCACCAUCUGCAGUGAUCAUGGAGCCCAAGAAAGUAAAAUCUCUCACUGCCUCCAUUUCUUCCCCUUCUAUUUGCCAGGAGGUGAUGGGACCUUUUAGAAGACAUCUAAAGGCAGCCCUGUUUAGGGAAGCUUUUAAUGUUUAAUAGGUUAUUGUAUUUUAGUGUUUUGUUGGAAGCCGCCCAGAGUGGCUGGGGGGACCCAGCCAGAUGAGUGGGGUAUACAUUAUUAUUAUUAUUAUUAUUAUUAUUAUUAUUAAGCACAGUACUUCCAGUCAAGUUCCGGGUGUCCUGAACUGGUGUUUGUCAAAAUGUAAAGAGAAGAGUGAUCAGAUGGUGGAUCUCUGCAGUCAUCUAUUUUGAUUCUGGGAGCAGCAUCCUCCAUUGUAACUCUGGAGGAAGAGGAGGAGGAGGUGGGGAGCCAAAUCUCUGGGACUCGCCACUAAAUUUAUUAGGACUAACCCCCCCCCCGCCCGCCCACAGAUAUGACAGUAUCCCAUCUUUUUUGUGGGCAUCAACCACUGAAUAGGCAGGGAUAAAAACUAACUCUGCUUGUCCCCUGGUUCCUUCGCUUUUUACACCUUUUACCAAUGGCACACUAUCAACAAUGUAGAUAUCCUGGCAUAAUGUUACAGUAGUGCAGUGUACAUAGAAGAUGUACACUUACAUGUAUAUUUACAUAGAAUAUAUUGUAAUAUUCAACCCGUACUCAGCAUUUCUUUCUGGACAAUGCCCCCCCCAAAGGCCAAUGAUAGACAGGGCCAGAGGCAAAAACAGGUUGAGAAAGACAUUAUUGGAGUUCAAGGACACAUUGAAGCCAGAGAAAGAAAGAAAGAAAGAAAGAAAGAAAGAAAGAAAGAAAGAAAGAAAAGAAAGAAAGAAAGAAAAGCAGGACCAAUGAAUGGUCCUUCAUUAUGUCAACAUAUCUCUGGUUUCACUGAAGCAUGAGGAUUUAGCAGCAAUUAUUAUUUAGUAUUACUUAGUAGCAAUUAUGAGCACCGCAACCCCAGAGUCGGUCACAACUGGACCUUAAUGGUCGGGGGUCCCUUUACCUUUACCUUUUAUGCCUUGCUGAACAGGCAUAAAGACAUAAUUUGAAGAUAGGAUUUGUACUGUUAUUCGUUUAAAAACGUGCAAAUAAUGACUUGCCAGUAGUUCCCUGUGAAACUGAAUCUUUAAAAAGAAAAAGAAAAUGAAAUCAUGCUAAAAUUUGUAAAAACAGUACCUUGCAGUUUGAAAAUUAGCUGCUGGGUUUUUUACAUAUUUGGGUGGGAGAAGCAUUUGCCAGCUCAGUGUGUUUGGUUAGAUGUUAAGGCUAUAUGAAAUGACUUUUAUUUAUUCUUCCACUCACUCUAGAUGUGUAGUACAAUUCAAAUCUCACAUCAUGAGAUGUUUUCUGACUUUUAAAUAAUUGUUAUCUGCUGAAUAAUUAUCAGGUUUGCAUCAUGCACCCAUAUUCUGGACAUGUUCUCAUGUGCAUUUUUGCUGAAAUAACAAGGAUGUGCCUGUAGUUGCUGUAACUUUUAUAACUUGCAGUAGUAGUAUGUGUUACACACAUACACUCUUGUUUGUUUGUUUUUAGAUGACAUGCACGGCUACUUCUCUGAAUGACAACCUGAAAAUGCAAGCACAUGAUCAUGAAUGAAUUCUUGUGUAGUCUGUGAUGAGCUGGAUGUAAAAUUCCUGGAUCUGUGGCAGUCUGGUGCAGCGGCUUGGAAAUUCUAAUGCAGUUUAAUUUAAAUUAAAAAUGAA